AUUGAACGCUGGCGGCAUGCCUUACACAUGCAAGUCGAACGGCAGCGGGCCUUCGGGUGCCGGCGAGUGGCGAACGGGUGAGUAAUGCAUCGGAACGUGCCAUUGAGUGGGGGAUAACGUAGCGAAAGUUGCGCUAAUACCGCAUAUUCUGUGAGCAGGAAAGCAGGGGACCGCAAGGCCUUGCGCUCUUUGAGCGGCCGAUGUCAGAUUAGCUAGUUGGUGAGGUAAAGGCUUACCAAGGCGACGAUCUGUAGCGGGUCUGAGAGGAUGAUCCGCCACACUGGAACUGAGACACGGUCCAGACUCCUACGGGAGGCAGCAGUGGGGAAUUUUGGACAAUGGGGGCAACCCCGUGAUCCAGCCAUGCCGCGUGAGU
This 376-nucleotide ribosomal RNA is filed under the name uncultured bacterium. RNAcentral describes it as "bacterial SSU rRNA". It matches the Rfam family "Bacterial small subunit ribosomal RNA", at positions 30 to 406 of the family's 1533-position model. The record is from RNAcentral.